AGAACGAACGCUGGCGGCAUGCCUAAUACAUGCAAGUCGAACGAACUCUUCGGAGUUAGUGGCGCACGGGUGCGUAACGCGUGGGAAUCUGCCCUUGGGUUCGGAAUAACAGUUGGAAACGACUGCUAAUACCGGAUGAUAUCGAAAGAUCAAAGAUUUAUCGCCCAGGGAUGAGCCCGCGUAGGAUUAGCUAGUUGGUGAGGUAAAGGCUCACCAAGGCGACGAUCCUUAGCUGGUCUGAGAGGAUGAUCAGCCACACUGGGACUGAGACACGGCCCAGACUCCUACGGGAGGCAGCAGUAGGGAAUAUUGGACAAUGGGCGCAAGCCUGAUCCAGCAAUGACGCGUGAGUGAUGAAGGCCUUAGGGUUGUAAAGCUACUUUUACCCGAGAUGAUAAUGACAGUAUCGGGAAGAAUAACGCCCCGACUAACUCCGUGCUAGCAGCCGAC
Molecule: ribosomal RNA, 450 nt
Filed under: uncultured soil bacterium
Lineage: Bacteria
Description: bacterial SSU rRNA
Rfam family: Bacterial small subunit ribosomal RNA
Source: RNAcentral